UCAGGAUGAACGCUAGCGGCAGGCCUAAUACAUGCAAGUCGGACGGGAUUGAAAUUAAAGCUUGCUUAAUUCAUGAGAGUGGCGCACGGGUGCGUAACGCGUGAGCAACCUACCCAUAUCAGGGGGAUAGCCUCUCGAAAGAGAGAUUAACACCGCAUAACAUCAUUUACCGGCAUCGGUUUAUGAUCAAAUAUUUAUAGGAUAUGGAUGGGCUCGCGUGACAUUAGCUAGUUGGAGGGGUAACGGCCCACCAAGGCUACGAUGUCUAGGGGCUCUGAGAGGAGAAUCCCCCACACUGGUACUGAGACACGGACCAGACUCCUACGGGAGGCAGCAGUAAGGAAUAUUGGUCAAUGGAGGAAACUCUGAACCAGCCAUGCCGCGUGCAAGGAUGACUGCCCUAUGGGUUGUAAACUGCUUUUGUCAGGGAAUAAACCUUUCCACGUGUGGGAAGCUGAAUGUACCUGAAGAAUAAGGAUCGGCUAACUCCGUGCCAGCAGCCGC
RNAcentral lists this ribosomal RNA (504 nucleotides) under uncultured bacterium. RNAcentral's name for it is "bacterial SSU rRNA". It matches the Rfam family "Bacterial small subunit ribosomal RNA", at positions 24 to 518 of the family's 1533-position model. The record is from RNAcentral.